GCCGCCGCCGGUGCGCAGUUUACAGCUCUGACAAGGUCUCUGCGUCUCACGGGCUGCUCCUCACUGUCUCUCUGAGAGGAGCCGGCAAAGUGAUGAAGGGGCAGAGUGUCUCCUCAACAAGGUUGCUGAUGACACAAAGCCCUUCAGAAAGACCUCGACAGAAAAAAGGGUCAGAGAACUCUGGAAUUCAAAGGCAAAUGCAGAGCCCUGCACCUGCGGAGGAAUAACCCUGGCACCAGCACAGGCUGGGCAUGACCUGCCGGGGAGCAGCUCCGCGGAGAAGGACCUGGGGGUCCUGGUGGACAACAAGCUGUCCCUGAGCUAGCAGUGUGUCCUUGGGGACAAGGCCAGUGGUAUCCAGGGUUGCAUAAAAAAGAGCACUACCAACAGGUCGAGGGAGGUGAUCCUGCCCCUCUCCUCAGCCCUGGUGAGGUCCCAUCUGGAGUGUCUAGUUCUGUGCUCCCAGCCCAAGAGACGUGAAGCUCAUGGAGAGGGUCCAACAGAGGGUGACAAAGAGAAUAAGGGACAGGAGCAUCUCUGUUAAGAGGAAAGGCAGAGGGAGCUGGGCCUGUUCAGCCUCAAGAAGACAUGAUUAGGAGAGGACCUUUUUAAUGUCUAUAAAUAUCCAAAGGGGGGGUGCUGAGGAGAUGGGUCCAAACACUUCUUGGUGGUGCCAACCACUAGUACAUGAGGCAAGGGCCAAGAACUGAUGCACAGGAAGCUCCACCUGAAUAUGAGGGAGAAUAUCUUUGCUGUGCAGAUAACCACACAUGCUGGAAUGGAUUGCCCAGAUUGCCCAGAGAGGUUGUAGAGUCUUCGUCGUGGAAGAUGUACAAGAACCAUCUGGAUGCACUUCUGUGCCAUGUGCUCUAGGAUGACCCUGCCUCAGCAGAGAGGUUGGAUCAGAUGACCCACUGUAAUCCAUUCCACACAAUUUACCCAUUCUGUAGUUCUGUGAAAGUGAGCUUGUUCCAUCUGCUAAAUGCUGUUAAAAGGAGAACACUAAAUGCUCUUUCUACAGAAUGGCUAUGGUUACCACUAGUGUUACAGGAUUGUAAAUGAUAGGAUGAAAGAGGAGGUGGAGGCAGUAAAAAAUAGAAGGAUAAUCCUCUUACUAAGAGAACUAUGUGUGCCAAUCUGUUUGCAGCCACUUUUUUGUACUGGAAAACAUACACUGGGAUUUUGUGGUUGUCAGCUUCCAGGGGCACCCCUUUGAGACUCCCUGGGUGCACUUAUCAGUGGGGUUUAGGUGGUUGUCCAUUGGCCCAUAUAGUUUUUUCCUUUGGUAUUUUUACAUCAGAUUCCCUAUUUCCACUGCACUGAGUUUUCCUCAUAUGGCUACACUUCACAUUUGUUAAUCCAUUUUACAUUCUGCCAAUUCCUUUACCAGCAGAGGCACUACAGAUUUAUGGCAGGUUAUUAUUACAAAUUGUUGGAACAUUAAUGUUGUGGAAAUGGGGCUGUACUGAACCGAAGAUGAUACAGUGGUUUGAAGGGAAGGCUUGAAAAUGCAAGUAAGAAUAAAAUGGGGUAAGUGAAGGAAUGAGCUUGCUUUCUCAUUUUUGGAAGCUUGUAGAGAAGAUACAGAGAUAAGAAAGGGCUGAGGAGAAACAAAAGCCAAGAUGCUGUGAGAGAAAUCUGGUACAGUCCAACACAAUUAUGUUUAGGUAAUACCAGAAUGAUAUUUUGAUAAUAACAGUCAUCUGGAAAAACCCAGUAUUACUCUAUCAGAAGGCUUUAGCUUCCAGCUGUAGACACUGAAAUAUAUUUUCAAUAUAUUUUCACAAGUCUCAAAAUGAGAUUCUGCACUUAAGAAGACAUUGAAAGUUCUUGAGGGAGUCUCUACUUUUUGAAGUAGGGUAGUAUUAUGUUUCCUGCCCAUUGGUUGGUGAAGUUAGAAAAUAUGUUUUUGGAAAGCCACAGUGGACAAAAUGGCAUUUUUUAAACUGGAGUAAAACAUUCAACAUAACACAGUGGAAGCAGAUGUCAAAGUACAGAUAAAUCUGUAUAUAAUAUGGAAGUAGCUUUUAAGUAGAGAAAAGAAAUUUAAAACCCUGUGUUAUGGUUAGCAGCAAGAUUUUUGGCGGAGAACUGAAGGGCUGAAUUACGAAGACUGAUAGCAGAGCAAGAGACAUGGAACAAAGAGGACUUUUAAAACAUUUUGAAUGCCUUUGAAGCAUUCCUUAGUGAUGGUGUAGCCAUCUGUUGAUUGACAUGUUGAAGACAGGUGGGAAGAAGGGGAUCAGAGACUGACUUGACAGAGUUGUAGAGUUGGAUAUCAUCUGCAAAGAGAUGAUGCCCUUUGUUGAAACUGGCAAUGAGAUCUCCCAGAGGAACAUGAGAAAUAAGAAAAAAAGAAAUGAAAUAAACCCUCUGAGAGAUGCACACAGUCAUAGUGUUCUCUCAUGCAUGCUAGUGUAGAUUCAGAGCAAUUCUAGCUCUGACUUCAUUAGACUGUGUCAUGGAUAACAUUGGUGUGAGAGAGGAAUCAAUUACAUCUGCCUUCUGUUAAGAGGAAAACACUUUGGGCAUCCUCAUCAGAUUGUACCAGAACUGGUAAUUGAGACAGAUGUUUUGAACUUGUGUCUGGAUGAAUCAGGUCUACUCAGCAGUGUGUCUGCUGGUAGGGGUGUGUGUUUGUAGAGGUACAGGGGCUCAAACUUGGGCAAAAGUGGAGAAAUACCUAAAUUGAACCUCUUUGUUCAGAUCUUCCACCGAGAAUUGAAACUUGAAAUCCUUUUUGCCGCUAUUUCCUUGUGCUUGCUUGACAUGCCUGUCACAGGAACAAGAAUUUCAUCUACAGUUGCUGAAUUUUUCAAAGUGAAGGAAAAAGGACAUUACAUAGGAGUCUUCACUUAACACUUGGAGACUUGUAUUAACCUCACUUUCGAUCUUGAUCUCAGUUGCAAGACAGCUCUUCCAAAUCCUGAAGCAAAGAAAAACAGAAAUGGGAAUGAUGUGAAUGUGCUAAAGGGAAAGGAUUUUCUUGCUUCUUCUCCUCUUUGGCACCUGCACAUGCCAGAGGCUGUGCACAUACUGUAUCUGCCAUGCUGCAGUGCCUCUAGGUCACAUUUGUCGAGUACAUUAUGUCGUCAGCACUACAAAAUUCCUGAAAAUUUACUGGGGAUAUUGGAUUUGCUUUUUCUGAAGUGAAGCUUAUAAACUGCAUCACUAGCUAUUAGGAGAAGACAUGCAGUAUAUUUGUAGCUGUAAGUUAAGAAAAAUCUGUAUAUAUCUAUGUUUUUCUAUCCACUGAAGGAAGAAUCACCUCUCUUCCUUAUCAAAUCUGAUGCAUCAGAUAAAUACCUCUCUUUCCUCUUAAAUGAUAAUGACAUAGUACAAAUACUCUCCUAUCAUAUAAAAAGACAUAUGCCUGCCUCUCUUUUUCCUUGUAAUGUUUCAUCACCUGUAGUGAUUUCAAAAUCACAAGAUAAAUUUUGUAUUAUUUUUGAUGGGUUAGGCAGCAUUAAAAUGAGCAAUUCCAAUCUAGUGCUUUAAUUAUUUUCUCUUUUAAUAGAAAUUUCAGCCUUGAGCUACUUGUGAGGCUGUAAUGUGUGUAUCUUCAUUACUGACUGACUGUUCUGUUGGGUUUUGAUACUCUUUUCAAGGUAGUUGAAACAGCAAUGUAUUUAUGGCAAAUCAGGUCAAUGAUAUGUUGGAGACACAUAAAACUGUCUUAAAAAACAUUAAUACAUGACUUCUUUCCCAGUAACUAGUGGUAUGUAUAUAUUUCUUACAGUAGAAUAUUCCUUGCUCUGAAUGUCUAAAUAAAACCUAUGACUGUGCAGAGGAGCAAUUUUUGAAUGCUGCAUCGGUCCGGACUAUUUAUUCUUUAAAAGUGUAAUACUGUCUUGGUGGUCUACUGAAAAAGCAUUUUCCUUUCCUUUUGCACUAUUUCAUAAUAUAGCUAUAAAAGGGAGUAUUACAAUAUUCUUGCAAUGUAACUGUUCCCUGUAAUUCAGUGCAUAUGAAAUGCAGUCUGAAAAGAUAGCAUGAAACAAGAAGUCCAUUUUCCAUGUGGCAAAACUUACUGUCACUGUGGGUUUAGUUGUUGAAUUUUGCAUAGAAGUGUUGUUAUGAGCAUCUGUCUCACAAGCAAAGAAGAAAGUUUUGUUAUUCCUAGGCCUUGUACAAGUGAAUGCAAUAUUUAGCAAAGGUAAUUUUAUAUUUGUAUGAACAGAAAACUUUUUCAUGACCACUUGAUUCAUAUAAAACAAAGAUGUGCAUUAUUCCAUCUCAGCACUAUCUGGUCUUAGUAUGAGGCCCUGGGAGGUAUGUAAGAGAGAAAAGGGGGAAAAAUUAUAAACUGCAUGUCUAUGUGUCCAGAAGUUAUUGCAAAUCUAACACCC
Taeniopygia guttata (zebra finch) is the source of this 4349-nucleotide non-coding RNA. Lineage: Eukaryota; Metazoa; Chordata; Aves; Passeriformes; Estrildidae. The record is from RefSeq and is a predicted model, not a curated record.